RNAcentral lists this ribosomal RNA (458 nucleotides) under uncultured bacterium. Its description in RNAcentral is "partial 16S ribosomal RNA". It matches the Rfam family "Bacterial small subunit ribosomal RNA", at positions 338 to 795 of the family's 1533-position model. The record is from RNAcentral.
CCUACGGGUGGCUGCAGUGAGGAAUAUUGGUCAAUGGGCGAGAGCCUGAACCAGCCAAGUCGCGUGAGGGAGUACUGCCCUAUGGGUGGUAAACCUCUUUUGUCGGGGAGCAAAAGCCGGACGUUUCCGGCUGUGAGAGUACCCGAAGAAAAAGCAUCGGCUAACUCCGUGCCCGCUGCCGCGGUAAGACUGAGGCUGCGAGCGUUAUCCGGAUUUAUUGGGUUUAAAGGGUGCGCAGGCGGAUUGUUAAGUCAGCGGUCAAAUCGUGGGGCUAAACCCCAUCCAGCCGUUGAAACUGGGGAUCUAGAGUGUGAGAGAGGUAUGCGGAAUGCGUGGUGUAGCGGUGAAAUGCAUAGAUAUCACGCAGAACCCCGAUUGCGAAGGCAGCAUACCGGUGCACAACUGACGCUCAGGCACGAAAGCGUGGGUAUCGAACAGGAUUAGAUACCCUUGUAGUC